UGCUCUACAACUGAGCUACGAGGUCAAGGAAAUAUCACGCAUUUCUUAAAAAAUGCCAUUUUCUUCGACAAUAUUUUUAGGCAUUACUAUAAUAUAAAAGCUUUUCACAAACAAUACAGCGUGCAAACUGAACAGAGAUCACCGGAAAAAUAUUGAGAUAUAUAGCGCAUUGUUUUUCAUGACGUCAGCAUGACAAUACGCUGAGGCUUUACACCAGAACCAGACGCACAGCAACCCAAG
This is a non-coding RNA of Paramuricea clavata, 240 nucleotides long. Lineage: Eukaryota; Metazoa; Cnidaria; Anthozoa; Malacalcyonacea; Plexauridae. The record is from the annotation of a GenBank genome assembly.